RNAcentral lists this ribosomal RNA (450 nucleotides) under uncultured bacterium. RNAcentral's name for it is "partial 16S ribosomal RNA". It matches the Rfam family "Bacterial small subunit ribosomal RNA", at positions 354 to 796 of the family's 1533-position model. The record is from RNAcentral.
GUGGGGAAUAUUGGACAAUGGGCGAAAGCCUGAUCCAGCCAUGCUGCGUGUGUGAAGAAGGUCUUCGGAUUGUAAAGCACUUUAAGUUGGGAGGAAGGGCAGUAAGUUAAUACCUUGCUGUUUUGACGUUACCGACAGAAUAAGCACCGGCUAACUUCGUGCCAGCAGCCGCGGUAAUACGAAGGGUGCAAGCGUUAAUCGGAAUUACUGGGCGUAAAGCGCGCGUAGGUGGUUUUGUAAGUUGGAGGUGAAAUCCCCGGGCUCGACCUGGGAACUGCCUCCAAAACUGCAUGACUAGAGUACGGUAGAGGGUAGUGGAAUUUCCUGUGUAGCGGUGAAAUGCGUAGAUAUAGGAAGGAACACCAGUGGCGAAGGCGACUACCUGGACUGAUACUGACACUGAGGUGCGAAAGCGUGGGGAGCAAACAGGAUUAGAUACCCGUGUAGUCC